RNAcentral lists this ribosomal RNA (408 nucleotides) under uncultured bacterium. RNAcentral's name for it is "bacterial SSU rRNA". It matches the Rfam family "Bacterial small subunit ribosomal RNA", at positions 354 to 777 of the family's 1533-position model. The record is from RNAcentral.
GUGGGGAAUAUUGGGCAAUGGGCGAAAGCCUGACCCAGCAACGCCGCGUGAAGGAAGAAGGCCUUCGGGUUGUAAACUUCUUUUAAGAGGGACGAAGAAGUGACGGUACCUCUUGAAUAAGCCACGGCUAACUACGUGCCAGCAGCCGCGGUAAUACGUAGGUGGCGAGCGUUAUCCGGAUUUACUGGGUGUAAAGGGCGCGUAGGCGGGAAUGCAAGUCAGAUGUGAAAUCCAAGGGCUCAACCCUUGAACUGCAUUUGAAACUGUAUUUCUUGAGUGUCGGAGAGGUUGACGGAAUUCCUAGUGUAGCGGUGAAAUGCGUAGAUAUUAGGAGGAACACCAGUGGCGAAGGCGGUCAACUGGACGAUAACUGACGCUGAGGCGCGAAAGCGUGGGGAGCAAACAGGA